RNAcentral lists this ribosomal RNA (1147 nucleotides) under Aspergillus tubingensis. RNAcentral's name for it is "eukaryotic LSU rRNA". The stretch from base 524 to 1147 matches the Rfam family "Eukaryotic large subunit ribosomal RNA", at positions 1 to 640 of the family's 3401-position model. The record is from RNAcentral. Lineage: Eukaryota; Fungi; Ascomycota; Eurotiomycetes; Eurotiales; Aspergillaceae.
AAGGAUCAUUACCGAGUGCGGGUCCUUUGGGCCCAACCUCCCAUCCGUGUCUAUUAUACCCUGUUGCUUCGGCGGGCCCGCCGCUUGUCGGCCGCCGGGGGGGCGCCUUUGCCCCCCGGGCCCGUGCCCGCCGGAGACCCCAACACGAACACUGUCUGAAAGCGUGCAGUCUGAGUUGAUUGAAUGCAAUCAGUUAAAACUUUCAACAAUGGAUCUCUUGGUUCCGGCAUCGAUGAAGAACGCAGCGAAAUGCGAUAACUAAUGUGAAUUGCAGAAUUCAGUGAAUCAUCGAGUCUUUGAACGCACAUUGCGCCCCCUGGUAUUCCGGGGGGCAUGCCUGUCCGAGCGUCAUUGCUGCCCUCAAGCCCGGCUUGUGUGUUGGGUCGCCGUCCCCCUCUCCGGGGGGACGGGCCCGAAAGGCAGCGGCGGCACCGCGUCCGAUCCUCGAGCGUAUGGGGCUUUGUCACAUGCUCUGUAGGAUUGGCCGGCGCCUGCCGACGUUUUCCAACCAUUUUUUCCAGGUUGACCUCGGAUCAGGUAGGGAUACCCGCUGAACUUAAGCAUAUCAAUAAGCGGAGGAAAAGAAACCAACCGGGAUUGCCUCAGUAACGGCGAGUGAAGCGGCAAGAGCUCAAAUUUGAAAGCUGGCUCCUUCGGAGUCCGCAUUGUAAUUUGCAGAGGAUGCUUUGGGUGCGGCCCCCGUCUAAGUGCCCUGGAACGGGCCGUCAGAGAGGGUGAGAAUCCCGUCUUGGGCGGGGUGUCCGUGCCCGUGUAAAGCUCCUUCGACGAGUCGAGUUGUUUGGGAAUGCAGCUCUAAAUGGGUGGUAAAUUUCAUCUAAAGCUAAAUACUGGCCGGAGACCGAUAGCGCACAAGUAGAGUGAUCGAAAGAUGAAAAGCACUUUGAAAAGAGAGUUAAACAGCACGUGAAAUUGUUGAAAGGGAAGCGCUUGCGACCAGACUCGCCCGCGGGGUUCAGCCGGCAUUCGUGCCGGUGUACUUCCCCGUGGGCGGGCCAGCGUCGGUUUGGGCGGCCGGUCAAAGGCCCCUGGAAUGUAGUACCCUCCGGGGUACCUUAUAGCCAGGGGUGCAAUGCGGCCAGCCUGGACCGAGGAACGCGCUUCGGCACGGACGCUGGCAUAAUGGUCG